This 2910-nucleotide long non-coding RNA is filed under the name Pan troglodytes (chimpanzee). RNAcentral describes it as "long non-coding RNA NONPTRT000501". The record is from RNAcentral. Lineage: Eukaryota; Metazoa; Chordata; Mammalia; Primates; Hominidae.
AGAGAGGUUGAAGGAGGCUCCUCCUCCAGAGGGGGCUGAGAUCUUACCCAGGGUGACAUCUUCAUGAUAAAACCAGUACAGGAUUGGGGAGGAGCCUCUCAGGGCCUCACAGUGAAGCUCCAGCUGGUCCCCCACCACAGCCUGGGCCCUGGGAGCCCUGAAGGUGAGGAUGGGACGAGACACUGGAACUGAGGGAGGAAAAACGUUAUGUAUCAGCUGCUUCUGCUAAAAUAUAUUCCUUCAUGCUAAAGACAUUUCAAAUGGAAGAAUGUUUUUCUCAGUUUUUAAUGCCCUUGUGACAUUACUCAAAACUCAGCAACAUUUUCAGAUCUCCAGAAAGAACAACAUUUGUGUAGUGCUAUAAACAGCUUGGAAUACUGGAAUAUACAAACUCAAAUGUGUUUGAAGAAUGUGAAAACAAAGAUUAAACUGAAACUCAGGUGUCUUAGAGGUAAAAAGACAGUUGGAGAGUGGAGAAAUCAGUUCAACAGAAAAUGAAGAACAAGAGAGACUUGCUGCUUACAUCACCAGGGAUGUAAUUGCAUCUGGGCUGCAUCAGAAAUAGGGCCCACAAGAGAAUGAGUAUUGUCAAGUUAUUUGCUCAUUUUUACAUUCAUUUAUCCAUCAAAAAUUAAUUGAACAAAAAUUUUCAAAAAAAUUGAGCAAAAAUAAAAAUUAAUUGAGCAUUUAAUAAGUCCCCAAAAUGGCAUGACAUGCUAGGGAAUCAGUGAUGAGAAAGACAUAGUUGCUGCUCUCAUAGAGCCUACAAUCCAGAAGGAUGAGAGGCAGCAAUUAAAUAAAAAUACAGUAAAUUACAAUUAAAACUUUGAUAAUUGAUAAAGGACAGGGUACUAUGAAAUGUAUGUGUUAGUCAAGGAAAGCUUCCUCACAAAAUGACCUUUGAAAUUAACAUUGAAAUUAACCAGUUGAUGAUGGAGGUGGAGAGUGCACCAGGCAGGCAAACAGUAUGUGCAAAGGCCCUGAGUUGGGAAUAAGACUGGCGCAUUUGAAUUAUUGAAAUAAAGUAGCAUCACACUGAGAAGAGUCUGCAAACUACCAUGAAAUAGGAGACUGGAGAUCUAGGCUGGACUUCAUAAGCCAUGAAAGGAUUUUCAUCCUUCUUCACAGAGCAAUGGGAAGUCUAUCAGUCUAUCUAUGCAGGGCUGUGAGAUGAUCAAAUCUGUCCCUUUUAAAAGACCAUUUUGACCUCUGUGCAUGAAAUGGACUGUGGUGGAAUGGAAGUGGAAUUGAGGGAUAGAUGAGUGGCACUGCAGUAGUCAAAAUGAUGGUGGACUUGUCUAGAUAGAGGUGGUAGAGAUAGAGACCCAAGAAAUAUUUAGGAAGUCAAAUCAACAGGACUUAAUGAUUAACUGGCUGUGAGGGGUGAGGAAGAGAAAUGUUGAGGAAGACUCCUCUUUUCCUGCUUUGUGUAUCUGUUGAGAAGAGAUGUGUUUCACAGAGGUAGGAACCCUUGAAAGAGGAAGGGAAUGUCAGCAGUUCAGUUUUAGAAAUGCUGAGAUUGAUGUGCUUUUGAGAUAUUUGAGUGAAGAUAUGUCAUGUGCAGAUGCUCAAGUGGGAGGUCCCUUUUAGAGAUAGAAGUUUAGGAAUCAUUAUUUAUAGAUGACAAGGCCAUUUAUACAUGACAUACCCAGGAUCAUCCAGAGAAAGGAUUUAGAUAAGAGAAGAGGGCAUAAGUCAAAGUUCUGGAACAUGCCAAUGCUUAAAGGUUUUCUAUAAAAGGAGGAGCCAGUAAAGAAGACUGAGAAGAAGUGGCCAGGGAGAGAAGAGAGCCAGAAGAAGAUAGAUUCACUGAAGGGAGGGUUUCAAGCAGGAAGAAAUGGUAAACAACAUGUAAUAUAUCUGAGAUGUCAAGGAAGAUGAGGAUUGAAAAAUGGCCAUUGGAUUUAAAGCCUUGAAGGUCAUCAGUGACCUUUGUGAGAAACAUUUUGGUGGAGAGGUUGGAAAAACCUAGUAGAUUGGAGCCUAGUGGAUAAUGAGGACAUGGAGACAGUCUGGGUAACUGACUGUUUUUGGAAGUUUAGCCAUGAAGGGGUAGUGUAUGGAGGUAUAAGUGGGACCAAGAGAGGGUUUUCCUUGGAUAUGGGAGAGAUAUACCAUGUUACAUGCCAGUGCAAAGGAUCCUACAGAGACAGAGAUGUUGGGGGCCACAGAAGAGAAAGGGAUAAUCAGUUACAUAGCUUCUGAGAAUGCACAAAAUGAUGAAAUCUGGAGACCAGAUGGAGAUGUUCACCUAUGGGGAGGGAAGUCCUCUCCUCUAUAUUUUAGGAAAAGGACAGAUGAGUUACUGGGUGGAUACAGAACUAGACACUCAAUUUGGUGGUGGGAGUGGAGGGGUUAUUGUCUAGUGGAGUAGGAAUUAGUGGAGGUAUUAAUGACCUGGGAGUUCUGUUGAGGUCUGAGAACAAUAGUGAUAGGAGGAGCUGACGCAAGCAGAAGGCCAGGGGGUGGUUGUCAAAUAAUAAGGGCUUAAAAUUGUCCUUUUGGAGAUGAAGUAGUGUAUGUAUGUGGGAGUGGCUGACUGGUGUGGAGAGGACAGGCCAUGGUGUUAAGGGGGUUAUACAUGUGACCAUGAGAGUCAUGAAAUGAUGGCAGAUUGUGGAGUAUGGAGAAAGACUGAAAGUACAGUGCCAAAGCCUUCACUGAGAGUGAGCAUAACUAGGAGUCUGCCUGUGACAAGGAUGCAUGGAAGAUCUUGAUGUUGCUGAAUGGAACAGGAGCAGAUGAAGAUGCUGGGGACCCAAGUGGUUGAGUCACACAGCUAGUAAGUGAAGAGGCAGCAGUCAAACCCAGGAAAGGAAACUGAUGCCGCUUCCAGGACCAACCAAGACUGGACUCUCUGUCACCAGUAUAGACCCAAAUCACACUGUCUCCUUCAACGUUGGACCUGGC